RNAcentral lists this ribosomal RNA (254 nucleotides) under uncultured bacterium. Its description in RNAcentral is "partial 16S ribosomal RNA". It matches the Rfam family "Bacterial small subunit ribosomal RNA", at positions 524 to 776 of the family's 1533-position model. The record is from RNAcentral.
UACGGGGGGAGCAAGCGUUGUUCGGAUUUACUGGGCGUAAAGGGCGCGUAGGCGGUCGUGACAAGUCACUUGUGAAAUCUCCGGGCUUAACUCGGAACGGUCAAGUGAUACUGUCGGACUAGAGUACAGAAGGGGCAACUGGAAUUCUCGGUGUAGCGGUGAAAUGCGCAGAUAUCAGGAGGAGCACCGAUGGCGAAGGCAGGUCUCUGGGCCACUACUGACGCUGAGAAGCGAAAGCAUGGGGAGCGAACAGG